RNAcentral lists this long non-coding RNA (678 nucleotides) under Homo sapiens (human). RNAcentral describes it as "HSALNT0039271". Lineage: Eukaryota; Metazoa; Chordata; Mammalia; Primates; Hominidae. The record is from RNAcentral.
GAGAGCGCCAAAGGUCUACAAUUUAGCUCAUGUACACAGCAAUGCUCUCUUCACUCUGCUCUGGAAUUUUGAAAGUUACUUAGCUAUUUUUAGUUCUACUUUAAUAAAAUAUGUAACUUUGAAUAACAUACUGUAGCUUCAAUUUUCUAUAUCCUAGCAAUAUUUAUUCCUUGUUUUUAGAGUCAGCAUUGAGACUGUCAGUUUUCUGUAGGUCCCUUUCCUGCCUGCCCUGGCUCCUAAUGUUUCUCGGUUGUGCCGUAACUUACAUAUCAUCAAGAUGCAUGAAAGAAGAGGCCAAAAGUUCAUAUUCUGCUCUAUAAUCGUAAAGACUAUGGUUGAGAUUAAACAAAAUUAUCUCUAAGUAAAGCAUGAAAGUGCCUGGAAUAUAAAAGGCAAAGUAGAAUAAAAAGUAGCUGCUCUCCUGCUGAUGGUGAUUUCUAUGGCGAUGGUGACAAGGACGUUGACUCUCUACUUGGGAUUCAAGAAGCCUGGUCACAUCUGGAAAGGUAGGUCCUGUCCAGGUUGACAAUCUAGGAAGGGAAGAGGAGUUCAUGCUUCAUGUGGUACACCUCCAACUCUCCUCUGAAGGAAAGAAGUAAAUUGUUAUAACAAAGAACACCAGCGAAGUCUUGUCAACAUCACUUUCUGAUGGCAAAGCCCGGUAAAGUUGAAUACAUG